GUAUCUCAACGGUGGCACAGAUC
This 23-nucleotide non-coding RNA is filed under the name Arabidopsis thaliana (thale cress). The record is from RNAcentral. Lineage: Eukaryota; Viridiplantae; Streptophyta; Magnoliopsida; Brassicales; Brassicaceae.